GAUGAACGCUAGCUACAGGCUUAACACAUGCAAGUCGAGGGGAAACGGCAUUGAGUGCUUGCACUCUUUGGACGUCGACCGGCGCACGGGUGAGUAACGCGUAUCCAACCUUCCCAUUACUGUGGGAUAACCUGCCGAAAGGCAGACUAAUACCGCAUAGUCUUCGAUGACGGCAUCAGAUUUGAAGUAAAGAUUUAUCGGUAAUGGAUGGGGAUGCGUCUGAUUAGCUUGUUGGCGGGGUAACGGCCCACCAAGGCGACGAUCAGUAGGGGUUCUGAGAGGAAGGUCCCCCACAUUGGAACUGAGACACGGUCCAAACUCCUACGGGAGGCAGCAGUGAGGAAUAUUGGUCAAUGGACGGAAGUCUGAACCAGCCAAGUAGCGUGCAGGAUGACGGCCCUAUGGGUUGUAAACUGCUUUUGUAUGGGGAUAAAGUUAGGGACGUGUCCCUAUUUGCAGGUACCAUACGAAUAAGGACCGGCUAAUUCCGUGCCAGCAGCCGCGGUAAUACGGAAGGUCCGGGCGUUAUCCGGAUUUAUUGGGUUUAAAGGGAGCGUAGGCUGGAUAUUAAGUGUGUUGUGAAAUGUAGACGCUCAACGUCUGACUUGCAGCGCAUACUGGUUUCCUUGAGUACGCACAACGUUGGCGGAAUUCGUCGUGUAGCGGUGAAAUGCUUAGAUAUGACGAAGAACUCCGAUUGCGAAGGCAGCUGACGGGAGCGCAACUGACGCUUAAGCUCGAAGGUGCGGGUAUCAAACAGG
RNAcentral lists this ribosomal RNA (761 nucleotides) under Prevotella melaninogenica. Its description in RNAcentral is "bacterial SSU rRNA". It matches the Rfam family "Bacterial small subunit ribosomal RNA", at positions 28 to 776 of the family's 1533-position model. The record is from RNAcentral. Lineage: Bacteria; Pseudomonadati; Bacteroidota; Bacteroidia; Bacteroidales; Prevotellaceae.